Non-coding RNA from Peromyscus maniculatus bairdii (prairie deer mouse), 1601 nucleotides. The record is from RefSeq and is a predicted model, not a curated record. Lineage: Eukaryota; Metazoa; Chordata; Mammalia; Rodentia; Cricetidae.
AGUCUGGUCAUGUUGAGGUCAUCUAGGAUUGUGAUGAAACCAUGGGAAAGCUCUGAUCAUCAGUCCCGGUCUUUGGAUCACCCUGGGGAGACCUCAGCCAUCCCAUGGACAGUAUGAGUUAGUUAUGACUUCUCUGUGGAUUUGACUUCUACCCCUGGUCUGGAGACCUAUGCACACUCCUAGCAGGAAUCUCUACCCAAGAAAACUAGCCCACUCCUGAGGUAAAUAGACUGCUACCAAGAUAACUAACCCACUCCUGAGGUAAAUAGGCCAUUCUCAUGGUAACAAGCCUGCUCUGAAGACAACUAGUCCCCUCCCAAGAUAACUCAUGUACUCCAUACUAAGCAGUUCACUCUACUGCUGGAAGACCUAUUCUCAAUACUAACUGGCAUGCUCUUUUACUAGUUAACACAGUCCCAUAACUAACCCACCCCAGUAAUUACCAUCUCACUUCCCCACUAACAAGCUCACCUUUGUAUUGAUGAGCAUACUCCAAAACAACCUACUCACCCCUAUACCGACCGCCUACUUCCUUACUAACAGACCCUCAUUUUAUGUACCUUCCCCCAGCAUGACCCUCUGACUUAGCUCUUGAGGAUGCAAUCUCUCAACGGGACUGGAGCACCAUUCCCAGCACCAAUGCAUCACUGGAUGCAUGGCAGUCAAUGACAUCUGAACCAUGACCCAUCACCCUGCAUGAAGAGAUGAGCAACACCCAUCAACUUCUCUCUCGUCUCUGGAGACUGAGAACCAAGGAUUAGGACUGAUGUCUUGCAGAUGCUUAAGAGGCUCUUGACCCCUCACACCAGGUAUCAGAUGAUAUGCUGAUGUGAGGCUGUGACACCGAGAUAAAGCAGGACGCUGAUGCAAUGGGCCAGGGCCUGCCAUGCCGUUUCAACAAGUCCUGACAUGCUGAGGCAGCUCUUAGAGUUGGUGGAAAGCCGGGAAACCGAGAGAGCCUUCUGAGAAGUUUGAAAGAGCGUGGGGAGAGGAGGUGGUCACGGGCCAUCACUGAAGGAAGUCAGGGCAGGAACUUGAAGCAGAAACCAUGGAGGACGCUGCUUGCUGGCUCGCUACAGCUCGUUCUUAGCCCGCGUUCUUACAUAGACCAGGGCCGCCUGACUAUGGAUGGUGCUUCCCACAGUGGGGUGAAGCCUCCCAUUUCAAUCAUCAAAACAACUCCCCAAAGACAAGCUCGCAGGCGAGUGUGAUCUAGACAGUUCCUCAACUGAGGCUUCUCUCCGGUGACUUUAGGCCGUGUCCAGUUGAGAGCUGAGGUUACCCAGGAAAAACAGGAGGGAACAAAUGAUGAAUAAGAACAAAACCCUGCAGUGAGAGCACAGGUGGACGGCUGGACCUUGACUAGGGGAAGCCUUCUGUGAUCCUCUGAGGAUGGAGGGCACUGAGGACGUGCUGAUCACGGAGCAGAGUCAGUAUAGAAACCUUCCAUCCACCUUGCCACUGAGCAAUUCAGAGGAAACUUCACAACUAAACCGUAACGCACUCUCUCAAAGGAAAUUGCCUACACAGAAGAAAAUUCUCAGCCAUGACCUUGGGCAGAUUUAUUUCUAUAAAUGUGUCACAUGACUACAUUUAUAUUC